UAAUGGUGCAUCACUACGUAUCCAUCCCUUCGACGCCUUCCUCUCCCUCAAGCCUCGACCUCGCCGGCAGUCCUCCUCCCGUCCCAAGUCCAGGAGACGCAUGGGAACGGCGGCGGUGGCGAGGCGUCUCGCGCGCACGGACACCCCCACCCUACGCCCGCUCGUGCACGCUGCCCUGCGAGGUUUAAGGCAUCACGCCUGCUGCGCUCCCUUGUGGCGAUGAUGUGGCUUACUGCUGCCAUACAGCGCCUCAUCGAGGAGUAGAGCAGCUGCCCCAUGCCAGCCAAGAUCUUCCAGAUCCUCUCCACCUACCACCGUCAUUGCAGGAGGACUUUAACGAGUGGUCACCAAGAAGCUGCCCCAAAUCCUACAAAAGGCUCAGGUUAGAUGAGCCGCUGACAAAGACACACCUCUAUUCUGAAUUUUUACAUGCGAAGAUGGACCAUCAGCUACGGAAUAUGUUGGCUAACCUCUCACAGGUUGCUAACAAAUUUUUUCUUAUUGUCAUCUUGGUAAUUGACAUUGGUGGUAUUGUCUUUUAGUUCAACAGAAAGUUGUUCAAGUGAAAAUUCAGAGGAACAUGUGGAACAAAAGACAUGGUAUAAAAAGGAAAGGAAAGACUAAACAGUACAAUGAUGCAGAUGAUGGCUACAGAUAUGGACACCUGUAUACAUAUGGGAUGUUUCCUCUGUCAAUGCCGUCCUUUAAUCCAGUUAAUGAUGCUGAAGUUUUCAAUGGCUUUGGCACCGCAUACAUAUGGGAUGUUUCCUCCGUCAAUGGCUCAAUGCUGUCCUUUAAUCCAGUUAAUGAUGCUGAAGUUUUUAAUGGCUUUGGCAUGCAAAGCCAUCCAAAUGUGGAAAAUAGAUCUCUUGGUUGCAAUGAGGGAGUUGUAUAUGAAGAAGCUCUACAGAACUUUUAUGCAGCAUAUCAGUCAAGAAACAAAGGAAGAAGAUAUGUCUCAAGCGGGAUUUAAUCGAUGGAGUUCCGCUGCUAAAGGGCGUGAGAGGCAGUCCCAUCAUUGGAAGUUUACUGUUUGAAUCACAGGGAUCUGGGAUUACACAAGCACAUACUUUACUGAAUUCUAUAGUUCUAUUCGUUGGCACAUCGGUUGAUCAGUUUUGAGGUAAAGCGAAGUUGUUAUCUGAAAAAUACUUACCUACUUUAAGAAGGUCCAAAUAGAAAAAAUGUUGGUUUUCAGGUAUGCUAGCAUUCAAAUCUACUUCGGACACUAGAUCACACAUCAAAAUUUUGAUACCUGAAAUGGUAGCUUCAGAAGAAGGGUAUCAAAAUAGAUUCAUGGUCUCUUUGCUUAGUUCUAUGCUUCUCAAAAUGCUUUAGUAUAUGCCCAUAAUAUCAUAGUACGAAUUGUUCUAUGAGCAGUUUCCUUUGUCUACCAUCAGGGAUAGUAAUUCAUUCGGUAAUCUGAUAUGUAUAUGUUCUGCAUUUCUGACUGAAAUAAUGGUAAGUUUGGCUUUGGCAAUUGGUGUGUGUAGUUUUUUCAGUUGAUAUAAUUUGAUCAUGCUGAAGGCAAGAUAUACAUCAUGGUUACUUCAGGUAGCUUAAAGGGUGUGGGUCAGUGUUAAAUGUGAAAUAGCUUCACCGGGCAAGUUGUUUCACUUCUUUACAUUCAAGAGUUAAACCAGGGACGAAGCACAAUCAGACACUCUGUUUUUGCAAAAUAUUUUCUACCUUCCUCUGUCGUUGAAGUGUAUUGGCUUUCUUUCUUACAAUACAAAACUGAAAAGUAUUGUUUAAUAAACUAUAAUCGAAUUUUUCUAAGGUGGAGAUGAGAAAAAUUGUGAACAAGAUAGAACACACUCACUAUGGUACCUGUGUUUCGUAAUCAAGGUCCUGAAUUUAGCUUGACGAACUAUCAAUUCAAAUAGAUCAUAGAACAAUGGUUAUAACUUUAGUAGGGCAUUCUGUCCUGGAAAUACAAUUGUUGAUAGAUCUGCUUUCCUGCGAUCAAGAGACAAAGAAAACUGGAACGAAGCAAUCCUGUUACUGAAUUUUCGUAUAUAUACGUGCGUCAUCCCUCAAGAGAACUCUUAGUCAGAGUCGAACUCUGCAUCCUCUCCGCCUUCCCUAACCCCUCUCAUAAAUAUCGUCUUCGGUGGCUUGGGGGAGAGGAGUGGAGUGGGGUUUGGAUCCCGUGGAUGCGGACGAGAGAAGCAAAACAUUGAUGCCGGUGGCAAGGGCCUUUUCGAGACUCCGAACGUGCUGCUUGACAGAGCCUGGACAUGUGCAACGGAGGCUCGCCGCCGUCGGGAUCCGGCCACCACGGGCUCCCAGCGUCAGAUCCGUAGGUACCGGAACCAAUCUUGCAGCCACCGUUGGUUUCUCUCGGAGCAAGUGCUACUAUUGGGAUCCGGCUACCACAAGCUCCCCAGGGUUGGAUCCGUCUGUCCUGGAGCCGACCCUGCACCCUGUGCUCCUUUCUCUCGAAGCAAGCAAGCGAUUGACGCAGCAGCGGCACGAGGGAGCGAGCUCUGCCUUGAGGUGCCACUGGGGCAGACAACCACGAGCUCCUCCACCACCAUCUCCUCCCCUACCCGGGUUCAUCUGCUCAUCUGCACCGUCAUGGCGGCUAGCAUCAGUACCUCUAUCCUCCACACCAGUUACGUCACACACCGAUAUCAAUAGGGACUGUACCUUGCUUCCUUCCGACGCGUGGAGGCUGGCCUCCUCACCCACCCCGUACUGCACUGCUGCAAGGACAAACCAACCCAGGAGGAGGCAAAUAAUAUAGUCAAGCAAAUGCACAUAGUACUAUAGGGUCUGAUCACUUCCUGUGUGUACAUUGGUACUGAGUUCAGAAUGCAUGCCAUCCAACUCAUGCAUCAUAUAUAAGUGAUGGCAUGCUGUUGCUGAAUUGUGAACCAUACAUCUACAAAGAAAAUCAUGGGAAACUUCCUUCCGUGUAAAUUGUGUUUGUACAGAUCAACUGCAGCUGUGUAUGUAUUGCUGAAUAUUUAUGAUAUGCAGAGGGCUGUACACACAUAUUUUCAAGGGGAGUAAAAGGGCAGUUGUUGUCAA
Non-coding RNA from Triticum urartu, 3036 nucleotides. NCBI's taxonomy places the organism in Eukaryota, Viridiplantae, Streptophyta, Magnoliopsida, Poales, Poaceae. The record is from RefSeq and is a predicted model, not a curated record.